GAUGAAGAACGUAGCGAAAUGCGAUAAGUAAUGUGAAUUGCAGAAUUCAGUGAAUCAUCGAAUCUUUGAACGCACAUUGCGCCCUCUGGUAUUCCGGAGGGCAUGCCUGUUCGAGCGUCAUUAUAACCACUCAAGCUCUCGCUUGGUAUUGGGGUUCGCGGUUCCGCGGCCCCUAAAAUCAGUGGCGGUGCCUGUCGGCUCUACGCGUAGUAAUACUCCUCGCGAUUGAGUCCGGUAGGUCUACUUGCCAGCAACCCCCAAUUUUUACAGGUUGACCUCGGAUCAGGUAGGGAUACCCGCUGAACUUAAGCAUAUCAAUAAGCGGAGGA
This 329-nucleotide unclassified non-coding RNA is filed under the name soil metagenome. RNAcentral's name for it is "partial contains 5.8S ribosomal RNA, internal transcribed spacer 2, and large subunit ribosomal RNA". The stretch from base 1 to 120 matches the Rfam family "5.8S ribosomal RNA", at positions 35 to 154 of the family's 154-position model. The record is from RNAcentral.